CGCCCACCCAACCUCUGUCACGACUGCCACAAUCUCUGUUCAGCUCCACUCACCUGUUGUCUUCUCUAGCUCACAUACAGCCUCGACCCCUCACCACCGAUCUCUUCCACCUCUUGGACCCCGGACCUCUCACCAUCCUGCACCUAUCUUUAUCAAUAAAACCACUUAAAGCUUCCUCUGCUGCCUGCUUUUGGGUCCUUUCAGGAAAAUAAACCCUUACAAAAAGAAGGUAUGUGUUGUCUCGAUCGAUUUGGUAUGAACAGGACAAGCACCAAAAGAUAUAGAAGUGCCAAACUUAAUAUAACCAAAAGUUUCUCACUAGAGCUUUAAUUGAUUCAGCUAUAAAGCAUCUCUUUACAGCCUCACAGCCGGUCUUUGCUUCUUAUGCUUCAAACAGCUUGUAAAGCAAUUAAAACAAUUUAUACAUCAUUAAUAAAGUGAAUAACUUGUGCUUAUAUCAAACCCUUUAGGGACCCUUUGAGGAAGCGGUGCACCCUCUGAUGUACAAGCCGUAGUCUAAAGAAAGCCGCCAUCGCAGCACC
This 542-nucleotide long non-coding RNA is filed under the name Xyrichtys novacula (pearly razorfish). The record is from RNAcentral. Lineage: Eukaryota; Metazoa; Chordata; Actinopteri; Labriformes; Labridae.